This is a microRNA precursor of Microtus ochrogaster (prairie vole), 63 nucleotides long. The record is from Ensembl. Lineage: Eukaryota; Metazoa; Chordata; Mammalia; Rodentia; Cricetidae.
GAAAGAGCGGGUGGGGGAGGGGGACUGCGCGUCACUCACUGUUCUCCCCCCUCCCCCGCACAG